This is an RNA transcript of Bombyx mori (domestic silkworm), 5778 nucleotides long. It is a transcript of the gene named cytochrome P450, with no coding region annotated. The transcript has 3 exons. The record is from RefSeq and is marked provisional. NCBI's taxonomy places the organism in Eukaryota, Metazoa, Arthropoda, Insecta, Lepidoptera, Bombycidae.
GCGAUAGAUAGGAAACGCCAGGCGACGGGUAGUAGCGUAUUCCUGUGUGCUAAUAACACCCGCCGCUUCGAAUAUGAUCUUUAGUUUUUUACUAUAAAAUAUUUAUUAACAUUUGUACUAUUCGCAUAAAUUUGUACUCGUAGGUAGGUGUUUACCUUUCCCGCCGCUUCGAAUAUCGUUAGUUUGUUAAUUUGAAAUAUUUAUUUUACGUUUAUCUUAAAAUGGCACCUUCAGAUACUAAUUUAAAGAUGUUAUAUGCCAAAAGAGAUAGGAUAUUCUCCCGCAUGCAAAGCAUUUCUAGCCAAGUUAGAGAUAUGGAUUCAAAGUCAUUCAACGCUGACGCUUUUUUGUGCGACUUUGAAACAGUAGAUUCAUUGCGUGAAGAUUUUGAAGGUGUGCUCGAUAAAAUAAUCUUGUUGGAGUUAAAGGCUAAUCCCGAUUAUUUAGUUAAUUAUCAACCUCUUACGGCGUUUGAAGAUCUCUUAGGCUGCGUGAAACGAGCUGCCAAAAGGUUACAAUCGCAAUCGCAAACGGGGGAUCACGUUACGCUGGCUGGUCAACAUAGGAUUCCGAAACUACCCCCAAUAGAAAUUCCCGAAUUCAAUGGCGAUAUAAAAAACUGGCCUUUGUUUAUCUCUAGCUUUCGAAAUGUCGUACAUAAUAAUACAUCGUUAACGGACUCUGAGAAACUUUAUUAUUUGAUAGGCAAAUUAACCGGCAGGGCUCGUUCCAUAUGCGCGGGAAUUACUCCAAGCGCCGAAAACUAUUCGUUAAUUUUUGAUUUAUUAAAUAGCAAAUACGAAGAUAAACGUCUAUCUGCUACUGCGUAUUUAGAUCAAUUAUUUGAAUUUAAACCUAUCUCUUCUGCAAAGCCUAGUAAUUUAGAAUUAUUUUUGGACAAGUUCGCAUCGUCGGUAGCCGCUUUAAAAAACUUGAAGGUCAAUGACCUAUCGGAUUUUACAUUUUUGCAUGUUGCGCUUAAAAAAUUAGACACAGACACUGCCCGUGCGUUUGAAUCCUAUCAGCGCUUAAAUAAUAAGGGAUGCGAAAUACCAUUGUUUGUAGAUCUAGUGUCUUUUGUUCGUGAUCACAUAAAAGUAUUAGAACGCACGUCAUCGGUUCCCAAGGCUGCCAACAAAAGGCAGUUUGACUCUAAGUUGUCAUCUACACAGGCUUAUACAUCUAGUUCUGAGUCAACGGUAUGUAGUAUGUGUCGUGACAAACAUGAUCACAUUUAUAAAUGUAGGGUUUUUAAUAGUUAUAAACCGAACGAGCGGUUUCAAUUCGUCAAAUCGAACAAUUUAUGUAUAAAUUGUUUAAGUAGCGGUCAUCGUGUUUCCGCGUGUAGGUCGGCCUCUUUAUGUAAAAAAUGUAAUUCUAAGCAUCACACUUUAUUAUGUUUCGGAAAUGAACCCGUCGCGAGUAAAGCGCAUUCGAAUGCUAGACGCACGCAGUCACCAGGUACACGAGCAUCGGCUGUCGCACGGCCCUCCAUGCCUUCUUCGGUAGGCUUAAAUGAUAUGGGCAUUGCUCCAGCUCGCGUCAGCACGGAUGACGUAACGUUGUGCACUUUAUCAAAAGGUUAUAACCGCAUCUUACGCAGUCCUACUACGGUACUAAUUGCGACCGCACGUGUAGUUAUUAUUGAUUCACGUGGUAGGGAGCAUUGUGUACGCGCGUUGUUGGAUGGCGCGUCUCAAAGCAAUUUUGUCACUCGUGAUUGUUGUCGACGAUUGGGUUUGAACAUAAAUAAUAGACCUGCUUGUUCCGUAGUAAAGGGAAUAGGAGGUUCUAGCAAAACAAUUCAAGGUUCUGUAGAAAUAAAAUUUUAUUCUCGUUUCGAUCGUAACGUAAAUUUUACUAUGGAGUCGUUAGUAGUAGAUAAAAUUACUGAACGUUUACCGACUACCACAGUUGAUGCCUCUCUUUUAUCGAAUUUCGAAGACAUAGCAUUGGCAGACGAUACUUACUUUAACCCAGGCCCGAUCCAACUGUUGAUUGGAGCUUCGAUUUUCCCGCAUCUGCUCUUAUCGAACAAGGUUCAAGGACGGCCUUCGCAUGCCUCGCCGAUCGCGUUAGAGACUAUCCUCGGUUAUGUUAUUGUUGGUGACGCUCCCGUUCGUGUAGCUAGCAACGAGAGCCUUUCAUAUUGCUGUACCGGAGACCCGUUAGACUCCACAAUUCGGAAGUUUUGGGAAUUAGAGGAGGUAGACGUGCCGUCUGUAAUCAGCCCCGAGGACAAAAUGUCUGAGGAGUUUUAUACCCGUACUACCACACGAGAUAGUGACGGACGAUACGUGGUGGCUUUGCCCUUUAAAGGUGAUGUUAACACUCUCGGUAAUUCGCGUCAAGCAAGUGAAAGUGGAUUUUACUGCUUAGAAAGAAAGAUGCAAGCUUCUCCGCAGCUAAAAUUAGCGUACGACAACAUCAUUCUCGAAUAUUUAGAGAAGAACUAUCUCUCAGCUGUAGAUUGUGACAGUUCAGAUAUUUCUUAUUUUAUUCCGCAUCAUGGUGUAAUCAAACAAGAUAAGGUCACAACCAAAUUAAGAGUCGUACUCGAUGGUAGUUGUAAGACUACUACUAAUGUUCCGCUCAAUGAUCUGUUAUAUCGUGAACAAAAUUUCCAAGGAAAUUUAUUUAAUAUUAUUAUUAAUUUUCGUUUGUUUCCGGUUGCUCUUUCCGCUGACAUUCGUCAGAUGUUUCUGAGUAUUGGAGUCAGAGAAUCUGACAGGCGUUUUCAACGCAUUCUAUAUCGUUUUUCUCCUCAACAACCAUUACAAGUUUAUAGUGGCCCCCCUUGGGCACAUUUGGAUGUCGCGCAGUGGCCUGCUGUUCCUUUUCAUCCUUCCGUAGAGCCUGAGGCGCCGGAAGAAAAGAAACAGACUUUUCUCGCCGCUACUUUAAAUGAAAAAUCUCCUAUAUUAUCACUAGGAGAUCGUAUCUCAUCUUGGUCUAAACUAUUGCGCAGUGUAGUUUUCGUUUGUCGAUUUGUCCUUACGUAGAAUAGCACCACUCCCGCCUCUUCCUGGGAUAUCGUAAAAGGCGAUAGAUAGGAAACGCCAGGCGACGGGUAUAAAUAAAAAAAUAAAAAAAUAUUAAAAAUAAAAUAAAUUAGUAUCUGAAGGUGCCAUUUUAAGAUAAACGUAAAAUAAAUAUUUCAAAUUAACAAACUAACGAUAUUCGAAGCGGCGGGAAAGGUAAACACCUACCUACGAGUACAAAUUUAUGCGAAUAGUACAAAUGUUAAUAAAUAUUUUAUAGUAAAAAACUAAAGAUCAUAUUCGAAGCGGCGGGUGUUAUUAGCACACAGGAAUACGCUACUACCCGUCGCCUGGCGUUUCCUAUCUAUCGCCUUUUACGAUAUCCCAGGAAGAGGCGGGAGUGGUGCUAUUCUACGUAAGGCUUCGAGCCGGCUUCCGUAGAGCCUGAGGCGCCGGAAGAAAAGAAACAGACUUUUCUCGCCGCUACUUUAAAUGAAAAAUCUCCUAUAUUAUCACUAGGAGAUCGUAUCUCAUCUUGGUCUAAACUAUUGCGCAGUGUAGUUUUCGUUUGUCGAUUUGUAAAAUUGUUACCUCACAGAUAUCGCAUGUCAGCAUCGGAUUAUGAGUUCGCUGAGUUAUUAAUUCUUCGUGAACUUCAACGGUUUUAUUUUCGCGCUGAGAUCGCGAAGCUCAAGGAAGGUCAAGUUUGUAGCCCUGCAUUUCGACACUUAAAACCAUUUUUUAAAGAUGGAGUAAUUAGAGUAGGGGGACGUUUAAGAAACUCUGACUUGAGCUACGACGAGAAAUAUCCCGUUUUGCUUCCGAGAAAAGAUCCGAUCUUGAAUUUACUUGUCGAAUAUCAUCAUAAAUUAAAUUGUCACGCCGGUCCUGACCUGCUGAUGGCGCUCUUACGUCAGAAGUAUUGGAUACUUUCUGCUCGUAAUUUAAUUAGGAAUAGGAUACACAAAUGCAUGCCUUGCUUUCGACUUCGUCCUAAGCCAACAUUCCCUGAAAUGGCGGAUCAUCGUUCUUGUCGUGUCGUUCAAUCCGCUAAACCCUUCAUUCACACGGGUACAGAUUAUGCUGGCCCUUUCAAGGUUACCAUAACACGUGGGCGAGGUAUUCGUUCUACCAAAGCUUACGUGUGUUUGUUUGUUUGCAUGACUACGCGCGCAGUACAUAUAGAACUGGCUGGUGAUUUAAGCACAGCUAGUUUCAUGGGAGCCUUCAAGCGGUUCCUAUCCUAGACGAGGCCCGGUGGGUAGAAUUUAUUCGGACAAUGGGACGAAUUAUAUAGGUGCUAAACGCAAGCUUUCAGAACUUCAUGAAUUUCUUAGUUCAAAGUAUCAUAAUACAGAGUUUGGUAACGUCUUGGCUGAAAAUCGCAUUGAUUGGUCCCUAAAUGUACCGACAGCUAGCCAUUUUGGCGGGAAUUGGGAGGCUAAUAUCAAAAGCUUAAAGUCUCAUCUAUAUCGCGUUAUAGGUGAUACAAUUCUUUCAUUUGAAGAGCUAUGUACUGUUCUCACUCAGAUCGAAUCGGUAAUGAAUACACGACCUUUAUGUAGAACACUCUCUAGUGAUCCUUCAGAACCGCUUGCCUUAACUCCUGCGCAUUUUUUGAAUCUCACGCCUUUGAAAUGCUUGCCUGCGGAAGAAAUCGAUGAAAAUUUAACUACUCUUGCUAGACACGAUUUGCUAGACAAAUUAGUUCAAUCGUUUUGGAAGCGCUGGAGACGGGAAUACCUUCAUACGUUGCAAUCACGCCGCAAAUGGAACACGCCGGUCGAUCCAGUCGUCGUCGGCUCGGUGGUGAUUCUGAUUAACGAUAAUUCGCCUCCUCUACACUGGCCUUUGGGUGUCGUGGAAGAAGUGUUUCCGGACUCUACGGGAGUUACACGCAUUGCACGGGUUAAGACAGCGAUCGGAUCGUAUUUGCGUCCCGUGGUGCGACUCUGCCCACUACCCAACCAGUAGCUCAUUUAGAUUUUCAUAUUAUUUAGGUUAGUUGUAUAUAGAUAUAGUAUAAAUUCUUAAUUCUUGUAGGAACAUAGCGUAAUAGUAGAUAAACGUAGCGUACUUAUUUGAAUUUAUUGUUAUUCGUUUGUUAGAUAAUACACUUUUUAGUUUUAGUUAGAUAAUACACGUUUUAGUUAGAUAAUACUUUGAAGGCGUCCCUUCAAGCCCGGGGGAAUGGUUGCGCUGGUUUAAAACUUAGUUAGUUUUAGGUUUCGAAAAAUAGCAACAUUUUAAUUUGGUUUUGCAAAUCCUGUCCCAUCCCUCUCCGGCACUUUACCUACGGACGCGUGCGAGCGAGAUCGUGUGGUGACAUCGAGACGAAAAAAUAUGGCUGAACAACCGCGCGCGCGCUUCGUGUCUUUGUUAUGUUAAAUACGUAAAUAAGUGAAAUCGUUGGUGUUUCUCAUCGCGAAGUGGUACGAGUCUGCAGCAAGGACUACAUAAAGGAUUGCACAAAGAAAUGACUCUCGAAGUGAAACUAAUACAGACGAAGCCAAGGCUUUAUAGAAGUCAGUAAAGUCAGUCGUUUGGGCUCUCAGGAAAGUCGGAAUUGGCGAGCACAUACCAAAAAAAAAUUUGGCUGACGAUGCAACCCGCUGAACCUGCCAAUUCUGCAUGAAGGUGGAAACUAUAAAUACAAAUAGACUCCAGUAAUAGCUUCAAUCUAUACAUCGGGUCGAGACGAACAAAAUUUUAGCAAAGCAGACCAAUUUUUGCCUUAUCGAUGGGACAGGAACGAUCAACGAAAGAAGGAUUUAGUAAAUCAUGUACCAUCUGCCAC